Molecule: long non-coding RNA, 407 nt
Organism: Uloborus diversus
Lineage: Eukaryota; Metazoa; Arthropoda; Arachnida; Araneae; Uloboridae
Exons: 4
Source: RefSeq, a predicted model, not a curated record
AAAAACUUAAAUCUCAGACUGAGUUAAGAGCAGUGCCGGAUUUGUAAAGCAAAGUAGUAGCAAAAAAUCAGAAAUGAAAGUAAAAUCUUUGCUGAUUCUUGGACUCCUGGUGCUUUUCUGUGGUUACACCGAAGCUGGCCUCUGUAAUUGGAUGUGCAGAAGUGUCUGUGCGAUGCCAGGUGUAUGCCAUGUUGUUUGUAAAUUGCUAUGCACGGAUCCAGACAGUGUGAAAACAUAUUCUUUUACAGUUCCACAAAAAUAGAAUCAGGAAUUAGAGCAUUUAGAUGUUUAUAUUUAUUUGAAGACACAAAUGAAAACCAAACAGAAAUCUCAACUGACGGCUAAAUGAAGAAAAAUUGUGUUUGCAAUAAGAAUAAAUAAAUAAUUGUAUAUUUUUUACAAUGAUA